Rhineura floridana is the source of this 1109-nucleotide long non-coding RNA. RefSeq lists it as uncharacterized. The transcript has 3 exons. NCBI's taxonomy places the organism in Eukaryota, Metazoa, Chordata, Lepidosauria, Squamata, Rhineuridae. The record is from RefSeq and is a predicted model, not a curated record.
UAAAUCUGCGUAGAGUUGCAGUCUUAGGAAUAUGUCCCAUUGUACAGUGUGGACAUGACUUCAGAGUAAGCAUGCAUAGGGUUGGACUACCCUGUGUUUAAGACGCUACAACUUUACAGUUCAAAAGAAAGUUUCCGCCAUUUCCCAUUAUAAUCCCAGCCUUCAGCAGAUACCAGUGCAGACGAGGUUUCCAACAGUUUCUUCUUGCUCCAAUUCUGUAGUGGCCAGGAUCCAGAAUUGCUGCAUAAACCACUGGGUUCAGUUAUGUGUCCCUCCCAACCCAUUUGGGAUUAAGUGGGGUAUCUGGACUAGCACUCAACUGAGUGCAAAGAUCUACAACUGGAAAUAUAUUUUGCCCCUCUUUUUGCUUAUGAGUAGAAGCACUUUGUGCUCAUGCAUGGAAUGGACUUGUAUGUUGUUUCACUUUUAGUAUUAUCACCUUAUAUAUUCAAGCAAUAACUAAGAACUACAAAGACAACUGUAUUGCCUUCCAUGUACUCUGACAGUGCGGUGCUCUAGGGCUGCAAACUUUAAUGAGUUUAAUUGGUAGCUUAAUUGAUGCAAUCUUUAGCUGAUUUAUGAGAAGGAGCCAGUUUUAAUCAGUGAGCCUGGGAGAUUAGAGAACAUGUUUCUUUUCUUUUUUUUAGCCUCAUUACUGUAAUAGGGAAUGGGAAAAAUUAGCUAGCCUUUUCUUCUAACUGUGUGAGUGGUGACUUUUGUUUGUUGAAGUGAUGCAUUAGUUUUUGCUUUCUUCAGUAUCUCAAAAGUCACUGCUAAUAUAAUAUGCAAAAUUAUUUAAAUAAAAUAAACUGAUAUGGUGAAAAGGCAGCUGAUGAUACAAAUAGAGAAUAUUGUUCGUUAUAUGCUUGUUUGUGAGUUGUAUUCUUCUCCAAGAAAGAAUUUUAUUGUUCCUCUGUUAAAAAUGUCUGGCAGAACAUUAUCUGAGAAAAUAUUAAUUCUGCUAUCUGAUAAUGAUCUACAUGAUACCAAGCAAGUGGCUUUGUUUGCUAUUGCAGCCUAGAAGACCAGAGCAAAGUUCUUAAUAUUUAUCUCUACCAGUUGUAAAGAUGAUGAUUUCAUUUAGCUUACCUUUGUUUUAAACUUUUUAU